CAAAGAAUAGUUUAAAUUAGAAUCCUAGCUUUGGGAGUUAGGGGCAGGGGUUAAAAUCCCCUUUCUUUGAAG
RNAcentral lists this transfer RNA (72 nucleotides) under Oreochromis niloticus x Oreochromis aureus. Its description in RNAcentral is "tRNA-Pro". It matches the Rfam family "tRNA". Rfam says of the family: Transfer RNA (tRNA) molecules are approximately 80 nucleotides in length. Their secondary structure includes four short double-helical elements and three loops (D, anti-codon, and T loops). The record is from RNAcentral. Lineage: Eukaryota; Metazoa; Chordata; Actinopteri; Cichliformes; Cichlidae.